Molecule: long non-coding RNA, 4987 nt
Organism: Oncorhynchus kisutch (coho salmon)
Lineage: Eukaryota; Metazoa; Chordata; Actinopteri; Salmoniformes; Salmonidae
Source: Ensembl
GAAAGACUUUGAAAUUAACCAGAUCACCACCAAGAUUGAAGAUGAACAAGCCUUGACCAUUCAGCUCCAGAAAAAGAUCAAGGAAUAACAGGUAUGAAUGUACAACCGGGUCUAGAAAUACUAACAGCAAUUUCUCAUGAAUAUAAUAUAAUGCUGAAAAUAUCCAUUGAUCUCUUCGUCUAUGCCCAUGUCUUCUCCCAGGUUCGUAUCGAGGAGCUGUAGUCUGACUGGGCGUCCUUUGCCAAGGUGGAGGAGCAGCUGGGUGAUGCCAAGAUGGAGGCGAACGAUCCAACGUGGAACAGCUCUCCAAGAGCAAGGCUGAUGCUGAGAAGAUGUGUCGUCUGUAUGAGAACCAGAAAGGCGAGGCCAAGGACAAGGUGGAUGAGCACCAGAAGUAGAACAAUGACACCAACUCCCAGAGAGCCCGCACUCAGGCCGACUGUGCUUGGCAGAAAGCUGGAGGAGCGGGAAGCCGUGGUCACUCAGCUGCAGCGCACCAAGCAUUCCUUCAGUCCAACAUUCCAUGUCAGCAGCCCUAUUCUGUAGUGGAGUGCUUAUUCAGAAUUGGGAAUGACAUGGAAAUGAAUGGGAUUGGGAAUAAUAGUAUUCCUGGUUCCAGCAUCAGUCUGGUAGCAAAAUGAAUGUGUAUAACCAUCUCAAUAUACAUACACCACCUAGUUGUUGUGCUUAAAAGUACGACUGACCUUACCUCCUUCCACCAUCUUGGCGCUAUCUCCACUAUCAUUGUCUUCAGACAUAGAGCGCCCUGGGCCAUGCUUUCCAGUCCUCCUGCCAUGACUGUGACCUGCUGAGGGAACAGUAUGACGAGGAGCAGGAGGCCAAGGCUGACCUGCAGCGAACCCUAUCCAAGGCCAACGCUGAGGUGGCUCAGUGGCCGUUACAGUCAAUACUACUCACCAAUGUGCUAUCAUUGGACAAUAAACUAGACAAGGUACGAUCACGAAUAUCCUACCAACGGGACAUCAAAAACUGAAAUAUCCUAUGUUUCAUGGAAUCGUGGAUGGAUGACGACAUGGAUAUUUAGCUAGUGGGAUAUAUGCUGCACCAGCAAGAUAGAACAGCACACUCCAAUGUUUACAACAUUGGUUGUAAACUAUGAAACAUGCCCUUCUUUUACCACUAUAUAAACCCGUUGACGAAAAUUCAACUUUCUGUUCCAAGGACAUGAGGACUUGCGGUCCCCACGUUGAAAGGACAAAGAUCACCUACAGAACUAAGCCAACCUCAGGGUGAGCUCUGGUUGAACGACAAGAACCUAACAAAAUUAGCAUCGAAUUUCAACGUGAAGAUGUCGAUCAACACGCCGAAAGGAUGAAUUUCGACUAUACCAGCCAGAACAUAGCAUGGGCUUGAAGUAUGGCAACUUGGUAUGAACUUUGAACUCUUAUUCACUAAAGAAGUGAUACUUCCUAGCCGUUGCAUUAGCAACAGCAGCUGUAAACGUGGGCUAGGAGAGGACGGACAGAGUAUCCAUUCUACUACGUUCCAGUUCACAACUAGACAUUCUUCAGAGGACAAGAGAACCUGGCCUUCUAUCUACGACCAAUCUACCGAAGCGCAGCUCAGAGUAAAUACUCUGAGUUGUACUCAGUGAUGUGUUGUGUUGAAUUUGCCCCAAAUAUAACGCUUUGUAUUCAGGACAAAAAGUUAAUUUGUUGGAAAAUCUCCCAGGUCUUUGUGGUUGAAUCUGUGUUUGAAAUUCACUGUUCAACUGAGGAACCUUACAGAUAAUUGUAUGUGUGGGGUACAGAGAUGAGGUAGUCAUUCACAAUAUUAUUGCACACAGAGUGAGUGCAACUUACUAAAUGACUUGUUAAGCUAAUUUUUACUCCUGAACUUACUUAGGCUUGCCAUAACAAAGGGUUUAAAUACUAAUUGACUGAAGACAAAUAGUCCGGGUAGCCAUUUGAUUACCUGUUCAGGAGGAUUAUGGCUUGGAGGUAAAAACGGUUGAGAAACCUUUUUGUCCAAAACUUGGCACUCCGGUACUGCUUACCAUGCGGUAGUAGAGAGAACAGUCUAUGACUGGGGUGACUGGGGUCUUUGCCAAUUUUUAAGGCCUUCCUCUGACACCGCCUGGUGUAGAGGUCCUGGAUGGCAGGCAGCUUAACCCCAGUGAUGUACUGGGCCUUACGCACUACCCUUUGUAGUGCCUUGUGGUCAUGGGCUGAGCAAUUGCCACACCAGGCAGUGAUGCAACCAGGCAGGAUGCUCUCAAUGUUGCAGUUGUAGAACCUUUUGAGGAUCUCAGGACCCAUGACAAAUCUUUUUAGUUCCUGAGAGGGAAAGGUUUUGUCGUGGCCUCUUCACAACUGUCUUGGUGUUUUUGGACCAUGAUAGUUCAUUGGUGAUGUGGACACCAAGGAACUUGAAACUCUCGUCCCGCUCCACAACAGCCCCAUUGAUGUUAAUGGGGACCUGUUUGGCCCGCCUUUCAUUUAGUCAACGAUCAGCUCCUUUGUCUUGCUCACAUUGACAGAGAGGUUGUUGUCCUGGCACCACACUGCCAGUCUCUGACCUCCUCCCUAUAGGCUGUCUCAUCAUUGUCGGUGAUCAGGCCUACCACUGUUGUCGUCAGCAAACUUAAUGACAGUGUUGAAGUCAUGUUUGGCCACACAGUCGUGGGUGAACAGGGAGUACAGGAGGGGACUAAGUACACACACCCCUGAGGGGCCCCAGUGUUGAGGAUCAGCGUGGCAGACGUGUUGUUGCCUACCCUUACCACUGGGGGGGGGCGGCCGGUCGAAGUCCAAGAUCCAGUUGCAGAGGGAGGUGUUUAGUUGCAGGGUACUUAGCUUAGUGAUGCGCUUCGUGGGAGCUAUAGUCAAUGAACAGCAUGCUCACAUAGGUGUUCCUUUUGUCCAGGUGGGAAAGGGCAGUGUGGAAUGCAAUUGAGAUUGCGUCAUCUGUGGAUGUGUUUGUUGGGGCAGUAUGCGAAUUGGAGUGGGUCCUAGGGUACCCGGGAUGAUGCUGUUGAUGUGAGCCAUGACCAGCCUUUCAAAGCACUUAAUGGCUACCGACGUGAGUGCUACGGGGUGGUAAUCAUUUAGGCAGGUUACCUUCGCUUCCUUGGGCACAGACACUAUGGUGGUCUGCUUGAAACAUGCAGGUAUUACAGACUCAGUCAGUGAGAGGUUGAAAAUGUCAGUGAAGACAUUUGCCAGUUGGUCCGAGCAUGCUUUGAGUACACGUCACGGUAAUCUAUCUGGCCCCGCGGCUUAGUGAAUGUUGACCUGUUUAAAGAGUGUUAUCACCCAGUAAUCCAGAACAGCUGGUACUCUCGUGCAUGCUUCAGUGUUGCUUGCCUCAAAGCGAGCAUAAAAGGCAUUUAGCUCGUCUGGUAGGCUUGCGUCACUGGGUAGCUCAUGUCUGGGUUUCCCUUUGUAGUUCUUAAUAGAUUUCAAGCCCUGCCACAUCCGACAAGCGUCAGAGCCGGUGGAGUAGGAUUCAAUCUUAAUCCUGUAUUGACGCUUUACUUGUUUGAUGGUUCGUCUGAGGGCAUUAUGGGAUUUCUUAUAAGCAUCCGGAUUAGUGUCCCACUCCUUGAAAGCGGCCGUGCUUCACUGUGGGGAUGAUGUUCUCGGGGUGAUGAGAGGUGUUGGGUUUGCGCCAGACAGCAUUUUUCUUGAUGGCCAAAAAGCACAUCUGACCAGAGUACCUUCUUCCAUAUGUUUGGGGAGUCUCCCACAUGCCUUUUUGCGAACACCAAACAUGUUUGCUUGUUUUUUUUUCUGGCCACUCUUCCGCAAAGACCAGCUCUGUGGGGUGUAAGGCUUAAAGUGGUCCUAUGGACAGAUACUCCAAUCUCCGCUUUGGAGCUCUGCAGCUCCUUCAGGGUUAUCUUUGGUCUCUUUGUUGCCUCUCUGAUUAAUGCCAUCAUUGCCUGGUCCGUGAGUUUUUGGUGGGCAGCCCUCUCUUGACAGGUUUGUUGUGGUGUCAUAUUCUUUCCAUUUUUUAAUAAUGGAUUUAAUGGUGCUCUGUGGAAUGUUCAAAGUUUCUGAUAUUUUUUUGGAACCCAACCCUGAUCUGUACUUCUCCACAACUUUGUCCCUGACCUGUUUGGAGAGCUCCUUGCCUAGUGGUGUUGCAGACUCUGGGGCCUUUCAGAACAGGUGUGUGUGUGUAAAUAUAUACUGAGAUCAUGUGACACUUAGAAUGCAUCCAGGUGGAAUUUAUUUCACAAAUUAUGUGACUUCUGAAGGUAAUUGGUUGCACAAGAUCUUAUUAAACAAGUACUUUUCUUCAUUUCACUUCACCAACUUGGACUAUUUGGUGUAUGUCCAUUACAUGAAAUCCCCUCCAAAAUGUACACUGCUCAAAAAAAUAAAGGGAACACUAAAAUAACACAUCCUAGAUCUGAAUAAAGGAAAUCUUAUUAAAUACUUAUUUCUUUACAUAGUUGAAUGUGCUGACAACAAAAUCACACAAAUUAUCAAUGGAAAUGAAAUUGAUCAACCCAUGGAGGUCUGGAUUUGGAGUCACUCAAAAUUAAAACCACACUACAGGCUGAUCCAACUUUGAUGUAAUGUCCUUAAAACAAGUCACAAUGAGGCUCAAUAGUGUGUGUGACCUCCACGUGCCUGUAUGACCUCCCUUCAACGCCUGGGCAUGCUCCUGAUGAGGUGGCGGGUGGUCUCCUGAGGGAUCUCCUCCCAGACCUGGACUAAAGCAUCCGCCAACUCCUGGAGGUAGUCUGUGGUGCAACGUGGCGUUGGUGGAUGGAGUGAGACAUGAUGUCCCAGAUGUGCUCAAUUGGAUUCAGGUCUGGGGAACGGGCGGGCCAGUCCAUAGCAUCAAUGCCUUCCUCUUGCAGGAACUGCUGACACACUACAGCCACAUGAGGUCUAGCAUGGUCUUGCAUUAGGAGGAACCCAGGGCCAACCGCACCAGCAUAUGGUCUCACAAGGGGUCUGAGGAUCUCAUCUCGGUACCUAAUGGCAGUCAGGCUACCUCUGGCGAGCACAUG